AAGUCGUAACAAGGUUUCCGUAGGUGAACCUGCGGAAGGAUCAUUAAAGAAUCGCCCCGUUUUUUGAAAUGGGUUCUAUUCCCAAACCGUGUAUACAUACCUUUGUUGCUUUGGCAGGCCGCCUUUUAGGCGUCGGCUCCGGCUGACUGCGCCUGCCAGAGGACCCAAACUCUUUUGUUUAGUGAUGUCUGAGUACUAUAUAAUAGUUAAAACUUUCAACAACGGAUCUCUUGGUUCUGGCAUCGAUGAAGAACGCAGCGAAAUGCGAUAAGUAAUGUGAAUUGCAGAAUUCAGUGAAUCAUCGAAUCUUUGAACGCACAUUGCGCCCCUUGGUAUUCCGAGGGGCAUGCCUGUUCGAGCGUCAUUAUAACCACUCAAGCCUCGGCUUGGUCUUGGGGUUCGCGGUUUCGCGGCCCUUAAAAUCAGUGGCGGUGCCGUCUGGCUCUAAGCGUAGUAAUUCUCUCGCUAUAGGGUCCAGGUGACCACCUGCCAUAACCCCCCAUUCUUUACGGUUGACCUCGGAUCAGGUAGGGAUACCCGCUGAACUUAA
Molecule: ribosomal RNA, 550 nt
Filed under: uncultured fungus
Lineage: Eukaryota; Fungi
Description: eukaryotic LSU rRNA
Rfam family: 5.8S ribosomal RNA (bases 211-364)
Source: RNAcentral